Molecule: ribosomal RNA, 220 nt
Filed under: Escherichia coli
Lineage: Bacteria; Pseudomonadati; Pseudomonadota; Gammaproteobacteria; Enterobacterales; Enterobacteriaceae
Description: partial 23S ribosomal RNA
Rfam family: Bacterial large subunit ribosomal RNA
Source: RNAcentral
AGCCCAGAGCCUGAAUCAGUGUGUGUGUUAGUGGAAGCGUCUGGAAAGGCGCGCGAUACAGGGUGACAGCCCCGUACACAAAAAUGCACAUGCUGUGAGCUCGAUGAGUAGGGCGGGACACGUGGUAUCCUGUCUGAAUAUGGGGGGACCAUCCUCCAAGGCUAAAUACUCCUGACUGACCGAUAGUGAACCAGUACCGUGAGGGAAAGGCGAAAAGAAC